Long non-coding RNA from Antechinus flavipes (yellow-footed antechinus), 367 nucleotides. RefSeq lists it as uncharacterized. NCBI's taxonomy places the organism in Eukaryota, Metazoa, Chordata, Mammalia, Dasyuromorphia, Dasyuridae. The transcript has 2 exons. The record is from RefSeq and is a predicted model, not a curated record.
AUAAGGAAUGCUUCCAGCCCAGCCACCUCAGCCAUCAUCCUAGGAAGGACCUCUGGUGGACACUGCUCACUGCUCCUUCUCCUGCCCAGGCUGCAGCCACAGCUACCAGAAAUUCAGAAAGGAAAGUUCUUGAAACCAAAGUCCUUGGUGCUGAUCCAAUGGUUUAAGCUCAGAAAUGGAAGACUUUUUCAUAAAAAUGAUUUUAAAGAAGAAGCCUGACCACCUGCUUUGCUGCUGCCCCAAAGGACUAUGGGACUUUUCCAUCUGACUUGAAGAUGAAACCCCUAGGGGCUGGGACCUACUGAGUCUUGUUUGUAGUCCCAGAUCUUAGUGCUGUGCUUGGCACAUACUAAGUACGUAAUAAAUG